Molecule: ribosomal RNA, 192 nt
Filed under: Pratylenchus crenatus
Lineage: Eukaryota; Metazoa; Nematoda; Chromadorea; Rhabditida; Pratylenchidae
Description: partial 18S ribosomal RNA
Rfam family: Eukaryotic small subunit ribosomal RNA
Source: RNAcentral
UUGAUUACGUCCCUGCCCUUUGUACACACCGCCCGUCGCUGCCCGGGACUGAACCAUUUCGAGAAACUUGGGGACCGCUGGCUUGGCAUCUUUCGGGAUGUUAAGUCGAUGGAAACCAAUUUAAUCGCAGUGGCUUGAACCGGGCAAAAGUCGUAACAAGGUAGCUGUAGGUGAACCUGCUGCUGGAUCAUU